This 411-nucleotide ribosomal RNA is filed under the name Apocephalus securis. RNAcentral describes it as "partial 16S ribosomal RNA". It matches the Rfam family "Bacterial large subunit ribosomal RNA", at positions 1802 to 2532 of the family's 2925-position model. The record is from RNAcentral. Lineage: Eukaryota; Metazoa; Arthropoda; Insecta; Diptera; Phoridae.
GUUUAUCAAAAACAUGUCUUUUUGAAUUUAAUUUAAAGUCUAGCCUGCCCACUGAAUAAAUUUAAAUGGCCGCAGUAUCCUAACUGUGCAAAGGUAGCAUAAUCAUUAGUCUUUUAAUUGAAGGCUGGAAUGAAUGGUUGGAUGAAAUAUUAACUGUUUCAUAAAAAUUUAUAAUAGAAUUUUAUUUUUUAGUCAAAAAGCUAAAAUAGGAUUAAAAGACGAGAAGACCCUAUAAAUCUUUGUAUUAUAUUGGGGUGAUAUUAAAAUUUGAUAAACUUUUAAUUUAUAAGUUACAUAAAUUAAUGAAUUAUUGAUCCAUUUAUUAUGAUUAGAAAAUUAAGUUACUUUAGGGAUAACAGCGUAAUUUUUUUAGAGAGCUCAUAUUGAUAAAAAAGAUUGCGACCUCGAUGU